GACGAACGCUGGCGGCGUGCUUAACACAUGCAAGUCGAACGGAAAGGCCCUGCUUUUGUGGGGUGCUCGAGUGGCGAACGGGUGAGUAACACGUGAGUAACCUGCCCUUGACUUUGGGAUAACUUCAUGAAACUGGGGCUAAUACCGGAUAGGAGCUCCUGCUGCAUGGUGGGGGUUGGAAAGUUUCGGCGGUUGGGGAUGGACUCGCGGCUUAUCAGCUUGUUGGUGGGGUAGUGGCUUACCAAGGCUUUGACGGGUAGCCGGCCUGAGAGGGUGACCGGCCACAUUGGGACUGAGAUGCGGCCCAGACUCCUACGGGAGGCAGCAGUGGGGAAUAUUGCACAAUGGGCGGAAGCCUGAUGCAGCAACGCCGCGUGCGGGAUGACGGCCUUCGGGUUGUAAACCGCUUUCGCCUGUGACGAAGCGUGAGUGACGGUAAUGGGUAAAGAAGCACCGGCUAACUACGUG
This 468-nucleotide ribosomal RNA is filed under the name uncultured bacterium. RNAcentral describes it as "partial 16S ribosomal RNA". It matches the Rfam family "Bacterial small subunit ribosomal RNA", at positions 28 to 507 of the family's 1533-position model. The record is from RNAcentral.